RNAcentral lists this ribosomal RNA (253 nucleotides) under uncultured bacterium. Its description in RNAcentral is "partial 16S ribosomal RNA". It matches the Rfam family "Bacterial small subunit ribosomal RNA", at positions 524 to 776 of the family's 1533-position model. The record is from RNAcentral.
UACGGAGGGUGCAAGCGUUAUCUGGGAUCACUGGGUUUAAAGGGUGCCUAGGCGGCUAAAUAAGUCAGAGGUGAAAGUUUGUCGCUUAACGAUAGAACUGCCUUUGAUACUGUUAAGCUUGAAAGUAGGUGAGGUUGGCGGAAUGUGACAUGUAGCGGUGAAAUGCAUAGAUAUGUCAUAGAACACCGAUUGCGAAGGCAGGCGGCCAACCUGACUUUGACGCUGAGGCACGAAAGCGUGGGUAGCGAACAGG